This is a long non-coding RNA of Hippoglossus stenolepis (Pacific halibut), 494 nucleotides long. RefSeq lists it as uncharacterized. NCBI's taxonomy places the organism in Eukaryota, Metazoa, Chordata, Actinopteri, Pleuronectiformes, Pleuronectidae. The record is from RefSeq and is a predicted model, not a curated record. The transcript has 2 exons.
GUGGGUCUGUGUUGUGUUUGUGUUGAGGUGUUGCAGGAUAAACAGCUGUGUCGGACAGGCAAACCACCGCAGUUUCCUGCUGACCCUGUUGGUGUUCGUGCUGACCUCUCUGUAUGGGAUCAGUUUGGUGCUUUGCAGCAUCUGUCCUCGGCAGUAUGUCAUGACGACUCUCUUCUACUUCCCCGGUGUCUACAGCCAGUCCAGUAUCUAUACACUCAGGAGAGGGGAGGGACAUUUGACCCAUUCUCUUUUGAUGUCUGAGCGCUGGACACUCCCUGUCUGGCUGAUAUCGAAGGAUGAUGUGUAGCCCCUCGAUCUGUGCAUAAAAGCCCCCAACGGAUUGGAGCCAUUUGUCAUAUUCUUGAAACCUGUAGUGGCUUUGAGAAUUCUGUCCCUAUUUGGCCAAAUAGUAACAUUGUCACUCUGUUUGUGUUCAAAUAUAUUCUCUGUAAAUUGUUUCUCGACCAUUAAUUAAAUACUUUGAUAUCAUUGAA